CCUACGGGUGGCAGCAGUGGGGAAUAUUGGACAAUGGGCGAAAGCCUGAUCCAGCCAUGCCGCGUGUGUGAAGAAGGCCUUCGGGUUGUAAAGCACUUUCAGUGGGGAAGAAAGCCUUGGGGCUAAUACCCUCGAGGAAGGACAUCACCCACAGAAGAAGCACCGGCUAACUCCGUGCCAGCAGCCGCGGUAAUACGGAGGGUGCGAGCGUUAAUCGGAAUUACUGGGGUAAAGCGCGCGUAGGCGGUCUGAUAAGCCGGUUGUGAAAGCCCCGGGCUCAACCUGGGAACGGCAUCCGGAACUGUCAGGCUAGAGUGCAGGAGAGGAAGGUAGAAUUCCCGGUGUAGCGGUGAAAUGCGUAGAGAUCGGGAGGAAUACCAGUGGCGAAGGCGGCCUUCUGGACUGACACUGACGCUGAGGUGCGAAAGCGUGGGUAGCAAACAGGAUUAGAUACCCGGGUAGUC
This 464-nucleotide ribosomal RNA is filed under the name Vreelandella stevensii. RNAcentral's name for it is "partial 16S ribosomal RNA". It matches the Rfam family "Bacterial small subunit ribosomal RNA", at positions 338 to 795 of the family's 1533-position model. Lineage: Bacteria; Pseudomonadati; Pseudomonadota; Gammaproteobacteria; Oceanospirillales; Halomonadaceae. The record is from RNAcentral.